This 380-nucleotide ribosomal RNA is filed under the name uncultured bacterium. RNAcentral describes it as "bacterial SSU rRNA". It matches the Rfam family "Bacterial small subunit ribosomal RNA", at positions 30 to 412 of the family's 1533-position model. The record is from RNAcentral.
AUUGAACGCUGGCGGAAUGCUUUACACAUGCAAGUCGAACGGCAGCACGGGGCAACCUGGUGGCGAGUGGCGAACGGGUGAGUAAUACAUCGGAACGUGCCCAAUCGUGGGGGAUAACGUAGCGAAAGUUACGCUAAUACCGCAUACGAUCUACGGAUGAAAGCGGGGGAUCGCAAGACCUCGCGCGAAUGGAGCGGCCGAUGUCAGAUUAGGUAGUUGGUGGGGUAAAGGCUCACCAAGCCAACGAUCUGUAGCUGGUCUGAGAGGACGACCAGCCACACUGGAACUGAGACACGGUCCAGACUCCUACGGGAGGCAGCAGUGGGGAAUUUUGGACAAUGGGCGCAAGCCUGAUCCAGCCAUUCCGCGUGCAGGAUGAA